RNAcentral lists this ribosomal RNA (443 nucleotides) under uncultured bacterium. Its description in RNAcentral is "bacterial SSU rRNA". It matches the Rfam family "Bacterial small subunit ribosomal RNA", at positions 338 to 795 of the family's 1533-position model. The record is from RNAcentral.
CCUACGGGGGGCAGCAGUGAGGAAUUUUUCGCAAUGGGCGCAAGCCUGACGAAGCAAUGCCGCGUGCAGGAAGAAGGCCUGUGGGUCGUAAACUGCUUUUCUCAGAGAAGAAGUUCUGACGGUAUCUGAGGAAUAAGCUCCGGCUAACUCUGUGCCAGCAGCCGCGGUAAUACAGAGGGAGCAAGCGUUAUCCGGAAUGAUUGGGCGUAAAGCGUUUGUAGGUGGUUCGUAAAGUUUAAUGUUAAAUACCAGGGCUCAACCCUGGACCGGCAUUGAAGCACUCACGAACUUGAGUACGGUAGAGGCAGAGGGAAUUCCAUGUGGAGCGGUGAAAUGCGUAGAGAUAUGGAGGAACACCAGUGGCGAAGGCGCUCUGCUGGGCCGAAACUGACACUGAGAAACGAAAGCUGGGGGAGCGAAUAGGAUUAGAUACCCCGGUAGUC